RNAcentral lists this ribosomal RNA (495 nucleotides) under uncultured bacterium. RNAcentral's name for it is "partial 16S ribosomal RNA". It matches the Rfam family "Bacterial small subunit ribosomal RNA", at positions 28 to 507 of the family's 1533-position model. The record is from RNAcentral.
GAUGAACGCUGGCGGCGUGCCUAAUACAUGCAAGUCGAACGCUGAAGGAGGAGCUUGCUCUUCUGGAUGAGUUGCGAACGGGUGAGUAACGCGUAGGUAACCUGCCUGGUAGCGGGGGAUAACUAUUGGAAACGAUAGCUAGUACCGCAUGACAACAGUUAUUGCAUGAUAACUGUUUCAAAGGGGCAACUGCUCCACUCCCAGAUGGACCUGCGUUGUAUUAGCUGGUUGGUGAGGUAACGGCUCACCAAGGCGACGAUCCAUAGCCGACCUGCUGUGUGGGUCGGCCACACUGGGACUGAGACACGGCCCAGACUUCUAAGGGGAGCAGCAGGAGGGAAAUGUAGGAAAUGGAGGGAAGGCUGAACGAGCAACGCCGCGGGAGGGAAGAAAGGUGUCGGAACGGAAAGCUCUGUUGUAAGGGAAGAACGAGUGUGAGAGUGGAAAGUUCACGCUGUGACGGUAUCUUAACAGAAAGGGACGGCUAACUACGUG